RNAcentral lists this long non-coding RNA (606 nucleotides) under Mytilus galloprovincialis (Mediterranean mussel). Lineage: Eukaryota; Metazoa; Mollusca; Bivalvia; Mytilida; Mytilidae. The record is from RNAcentral.
GCAAGCUGGCAAUAAUUUCCUUGUAAAACAGACAUAAACAAUCGUUUUCACAACCACGUCCCAUACACAAAAUAUGUUACCAUAGCAACAAUAUAAUUGAGAAAGUCAUUCGAAAUGUGAAGGAGAUAGCGUAUCACUGUUUCAUUUCAAUCCGUUACAAACGCGUGAAUAACUGUGUACAUAAAAUAUCACCGCCCAAAGUUGUCCUGAGAGUUUAUAUCAAAAUCCUUUUAUCUGGGGAACAGUUUGAUAUUAAUAGUUUGUGUACGGUUAAGAAUGUCCAAUAACAAAAGUAUUUAAACGUUAGUGAGGUUAAUAUUGACUGGGAAAAAUUUACACUCCACAGUCGGGACGACGGAGCGACUAUAAUGACUUGAAUAUGACAUUUAUGGAUUAAUAUUUUGACCUUUUGAGAAAAUGACGACCUGUAGAGAAUUCCGAUUGUUUUUGUAAUCUGGAAAUUAGCAUUAUGAGGGUACCUGGAGAGGAGUACGAACGGAUAUGUAGCUUCCAUGGUUGGCUUAUACCUCCGAAGGUUGUCCUAGCCUUUAUUUCGUUUGGAAGUCUUUUUGUUUUCCUAGGAACCGUUUUUCUCGCCGUUGGAAG